GGGCAUUCCUGCUUUGGACCUAUUUUGGGAAGAGCCGAAGGGAAACGGUGACCGAGGCUGAUAUGGAGCAGUGAGCUGGUGGCAUUUGCUUGUGCCAGCAGGCUGAUAAGGCCAGGAGGUGCCAGCCAGCACCUCCACAGCUCCCAGAGCAGGUGGGGACACCCUGAGCACCGGGAUGCCACCCCAGGAACAUCCAGGGUGUCCUGCAGGUGCCAGGGACCUUCCUCGAGGCUGGGAGAGCUCGGCAGGCUCGGGAGAGAGGAGAGGAGUUUGGAAGGGAUGAGAAGGGGAAGGAUUUGUGAGGGAGGCACUGUGGUGUCUGGGAACAGGACUCCCGGGAGAUGGGAACUCUGUGGCUGGGGACAGGGACUGUGAUUGAUCCUGGUGCUCUGCAGGCAGGGAAAGGGCACAGCGAGCCAAGGCGGUUCAGGAGGGAUGGAAAAAGGAGAAUAAGCAAAGGGCCCGAGGCUUUAUGAACUAUAAACACUGCCAUGGAGGAGCUUCGUAUUCAAAAUAAGCAAAGGCAAAUUAAAGGAGGGAAUUAGGGGUCUCUUCCAGCCUGGUUAUUCUGUGAUUCUGGCAAGGACGUGCAGGAAGCCAAGUGUCAGCUCCCUCCACGUGUGCCCAACAGGUUCCAGGAGGUGCUGAGGCACUCCCAGGCCCUGAGCUGCCAUUCCAGGGCUGCCUCCUUCCCUGGGCUGGGUCCAUCCAUCCCUCAUCCCUGCCAGCUCUGCUGCUGGAGCUGCAUCCAUCCUCCCCAGCUCCCUUCCUGCCUCCCUUAUCAGCCUGCACUCCUCCUAAUCCCAUCUCAGCCCUCCCCAGAGCGCUGAGAUAAGAGGCAGCCUGGAAAGGCUGAUAAAAAGGGACCCAACAAAUCCAUUAAAUGCUGUUUUCCGUGCCAGGAAUUACAAAUCCCAGCCCUUGGGAAUUAGGGCUCUGCCAGCCCAGCAAAGCCAAGGGAGGGAAGUCAGGGUCACUCAAAUAUAUCCUGAGGGGGGAAAAAAAAAAAAAAAGCACCACCUGGAGGACCAGGACAUUUUGGAUAAUUUGCCAGGUGUGGCAUUGAGGGGCUGUUUGGGGACAGACAUGGCACAAAGUGCUCAAAUCAAUGCCAGUACAGCCCAAACCAGUAUGACCAGUGGCUAUCCCUGCCCUCUGGCAGUGGGAGCCAUUCCCUGGGUCCUGUCCCUCCAUCCCUUGUCCCAAGUCCCCCUCCUGGUGCCUCUUCAGGCCCUGGAAGGGCUCUGAGCUCUGCCUGGAGCUUCUCCUCUCCAGUGAACCCCCCCAGAGCUCCAGAGGGGCUCCAGGCCCUCCUCUGGACUCUCUCCAGGUCCUUCUGCAGUUGUCCCAGAGCUGGAGGAGCUCUGCAGGUGGGGUCUCACCUGGGCAGGGCAGAAUCCCCCCUCCCCUGCUGUGGGGUCAGCCCAGGUCACCACUGGCUUCCCCAGGUGAAACCCCAAACCCACCCAGGAAACCCCAAAUCACAGGAAAAAAGUCAAAUCCAGGACAUUUUGUCAAGGUUCUACAUCAGAGAGUGAGGAACAACUCAUCAGGAUAACUGGGACACGUUUUGAUUGUGACCUCUGGAAAAAACUUCCCUUGUAUAAAUGGGGAUUAAUGGACAUUUCAAAAGACAGCGGCUUUAGCUUAACCCCUCCCCUCCAUGUUUUCCUUGGGAUGGGACCUAAGGGAUGCAAAAACAACGUAAGAACUAAAAAAUACUAACAAAAUAAAUAAAUCCAGAUGCUCAUCCAACCAACAGCCUCCCUGGGACAGAUUCAGAUUCGAUUUCAAUUGAUAUCUUCUAAAAUCACAAAGCCUUUCUCAGGAAAAACAAACCACGGCCACUUCAGAGAAAAACACGGGAAAAACUGCCCAGGAUCUCCCAAUUUCUGGGAGGCAGAGGCAGGAAAACAGGUCAGGAGCAGAGCACUGAGCACGGUAUCACUGAGUACCUGGAAUCCCCUAAAUCACGGGAUUUUCUGCUUUUUCAGCAGAUUUUUUCUUUUUUUUUUUGGUCUCCUGAUGUUGGUUGGGAUUUUCCAGCCCACCCUGGAGGGAGGUUGUGGGUCCUUCUCCCUCCUGGAAGUGAUGACAAGGUGCUCGGUCUUCUCCAGCUGCCCAAAGGAAAUGGGCAGCUGGAGAAAUUAGGAAAUGGCCCUAAUUAAGUUUGAUGGAUGGGGACUGGGGAUUAUUCCUAAUCUCCCUGCAGCAGCCAGAGCAGAAAGGAAAUUUCACACAAGAAUUCAACUGCAAACGCUGCAACUGCACAGCACGUGCAUGGC
Molecule: long non-coding RNA, 2285 nt
Filed under: Taeniopygia guttata (zebra finch)
Lineage: Eukaryota; Metazoa; Chordata; Aves; Passeriformes; Estrildidae
Description: lncRNA (ENSTGUG00000025752.1)
Source: RNAcentral